UACACUCCUACGGGAGGCAGCAGUGGGGAAUUUUGGACAAUGGGCGAAAGCCUGAUCCAGCAAUGCCGCGUGAGUGAAGAAGGCCUUCGGGUUGUAAAGCUCUUUUGUCAGGGAAGAAACGGUGAAAGCUAAUAUCUUUUGCUAAUGACGGUACCUGAAGAAUAAGCACCGGCUAACUACGUGCCAGCAGCCGCGGUAAUACGUAGGGUGCAAGCGUUAAUCGGAAUUACUGGGCGUAAAGCGUGCGCAGGCGGUUUUGUAAGUCUGAUGUGAAAUCCCCGGGCUCAACCUGGGAAUUGCAUUGGAGACUGCAAGGCUAGAAUCUGGCUGAGGGGGGUAGAAUUCCACGUGUAGCAGUGAAAUGCGUAGAUAUGUGGAGGAACACCGAUGGCGAAGGCAGCCCCCUGGGUCAAGAUUGACGCUCAUGCACGAAAGCGUGGGGAGCAAACAGGAUUAGAAACCCCGGUAGUCCCAU
Molecule: ribosomal RNA, 475 nt
Filed under: uncultured organism
Description: partial 16S ribosomal RNA
Rfam family: Bacterial small subunit ribosomal RNA
Source: RNAcentral